GACAGGAAGUCAGCAGCACCUAGAGGAGAGUGGACCUGUGUGAGAAGGGCAGCGGCAGCGGGACAUAAAAACCGACAGCAGAGAGACCCUUCAACCUGUUUCUACCUGUCAGAGCCAAAAUGUGAUGUCACAGGAAAACAGGCAAUCCCUUGGGAUUGGGAUGAAAUGCUUCCAUUCCGUUUUGAUAAGUUCUGAGAUGGCUGAUAAGUCCAUAGUGUGAUCUGCAGACUCUGCCACAUGUGGAGCAGGUGGUGCUGAAUGGAUGGAAGCUAUGAUGGAUUCUGCUUCCACCAUUGCUUCUGAGAAGAUAUUUGGCCAGCAAUUUCCAACCCUGCACUGACCAGUCUGUAGUUUCUGCACAACGUUAUUUCUUCUCCUUUCAUUCUUCUGGAAACUGCAACAUCUCUGCAAGAUUUUGAACACACAGCUAAUUAAAAUUCUACCAG
Molecule: long non-coding RNA, 446 nt
Organism: Carcharodon carcharias (great white shark)
Lineage: Eukaryota; Metazoa; Chordata; Chondrichthyes; Lamniformes; Lamnidae
Exons: 3
Source: RefSeq, a predicted model, not a curated record